RNAcentral lists this ribosomal RNA (391 nucleotides) under uncultured bacterium. RNAcentral describes it as "bacterial SSU rRNA". It matches the Rfam family "Bacterial small subunit ribosomal RNA", at positions 118 to 507 of the family's 1533-position model. The record is from RNAcentral.
UCGGAACGUGCCCAGUAGCGGGGGAUAACUACGCGAAAGCGUAGCUAAUACCGCAUACGCCCUACGGGGAAGGGGGGAUCGCAAGACCUCUCACUAUUGGAGCGGCCGAUAUCGGAUUAGCUAGUUGGUGAGGUAAAGGCUCACCAAGGCUUCGAUCCGUAGCUGGUUUGAGAGGACGACCAGCCACACUGGGACUGAGACACGGCCCAGACUCCUACGGGAGGGCAGCAGUGGGGAAUUUUGGACAAUGGGGGCAACCCUGAUCCAGCAAUGCCGCGUGUGCGAAGAAGGCCUUCGGGUUGUAAAGCACUUUUGGCGGGAACGAAACGGUGCCGGAUAAUACCUGGCGCCACUGACGGUACCCGCAGAAUAAGCACCGGCUAACUACGUG